RNAcentral lists this microRNA (20 nucleotides) under Drosophila pseudoobscura pseudoobscura. RNAcentral describes it as "mir-958-RB". The record is from RNAcentral. Lineage: Eukaryota; Metazoa; Arthropoda; Insecta; Diptera; Drosophilidae.
UGAGAUUCUUCUAUUCUACU